UAUGGACAGAGUGGACCUGAUCCUAGAUCAGCACUCCUAUUCUAAUGGCGAAUUCUGUCUCCUUCAUCCUUUCUGUAACUUCAGAUUGACCCCCCUGGUCUAUGAUUAGUAGAUGUGAGUGAGUGGACAUACAGAUCUGGGACUAGCCUAGCAACAGUAGCUCUUAACUAUUGGCAAGGAUUUAUUAGAUAUCCAAUCACUAUGAGAGAUGCUUUAUCCUUUUCAACACUUCUUUUGCAGGAGGCCAGAAAGAACUCCGAAGUAGGAGCCAUGUUCAUCUCCAUGCAACGCUCUACUGACCGAGGUGCCAAAGUGGUCUCCCAUCUACUUCAUAGUGGCCUCGGCUGGCUUUGGCUUCCAGGAGAUUAUGAGAAGGGAGUGGGACACCUGACCAAUGCCAUUGAUGUGUGUAGUUAACUUCAGCAGCUCCUCUAGGUGCUCCAGCAGACCACCUGUCUUUUAGAUCUGUCCACUAUCAGCCAGAAACCACAAACAUUCCUUCCUACCACAACCAUCCUACAGUACUCAACUACUGAGCCUCCACUCCAACCGACUGUGUUUCAUUGUCUGAACAUUUUGAAAUACCCUCCUGUUGUGAUUCGAGCAUACUACUCAACUCCUCUCCUUGCAUUUCAUGCCCUCUGCCUCUUUAUAACCUGUAGUCCACGAUGCACCUUUGUCGGGGCAUCGACUCCACAAGGUGUCGAAAGCAGUCCACAAGGAUGCUGGCCCAUGUUGACUCCUAUGCUUCCCACAGUUGUCAAUUUGGCUGGAUGUCCUUUGGAUGGUGGACCAUUCUUGAUACACACGUGAAACUUCUGAG
Molecule: long non-coding RNA, 823 nt
Organism: Oncorhynchus tshawytscha (Chinook salmon)
Lineage: Eukaryota; Metazoa; Chordata; Actinopteri; Salmoniformes; Salmonidae
Source: Ensembl